RNA transcript from Saccostrea cuccullata (small rock oyster), 727 nucleotides. It is a transcript of the gene named integumentary mucin C.1-like, with no coding region annotated. The record is from RefSeq and is a predicted model, not a curated record. NCBI's taxonomy places the organism in Eukaryota, Metazoa, Mollusca, Bivalvia, Ostreida, Ostreidae. The transcript is spliced from 5 exons.
AAUAUGUGGUUGGGAUCCAAUUGGACCAACGAUGAUUGUGUGAGUUCCUCGCCAGAAUUCAUGGCUGACGGAUUCCAUGUGAACUGUACUUGUAACAGCCUAGGGGUUAUUGGUGUGUUUGAGGGUCCAGUUGUCAUAGAAUCAACAACUCUACUUGAGACAACAACACAAGAAGAAACAACAGUGACAACAGAAAUGACAACAAUGAAAACAACAACAACAACAACAACCCCAAAAACAGAGAUACUUAUAACGUUUGUCACCGAGGCAAAUAUUGAUCAGAAUACACAAGACGUGGUCAUAUCAAAAGCUGUGAAGUCAACCACCACCACUAAGAGUCCCCCUGUCCCUGACUCCACGACCCCCUUAAUUCUGUCAGCAUCCCCGCCUACGCCGGCAAGGUGUACAUUUUGUUUGCCCUCCAUGACAACUUUGCCACCAUUGUAGCUGGACAGGAGAACAGUUUCAGGUUACACAUUAUGCAGAUACUGACUUCCUACCUCAAAAUCCCAGCCUCCAGGAUAACCAAUCUACAGGUGGAAAAAGUCAAAAACAAUGACGAUGACGGUGUGGAUGUCCCUCGGCCCAUGGUGGGGAAAACCAACAGUACAUCUGGUAACUGGGUUGAGACUGAGGCUAACACAGUGGACAGUGUCUCUGAUGCGUGUGUGUAGAAAAUUCUCCAUCUUAAUUACACCUACAGAAGUAACUCGGCUAAACCUCCAUC